GCACCACCAAUAAUAGAUCGCAAUCGGUCAUCAGCUGGUUAUUGAUUGCACAAUUCAUAUGAAACGGACGAUUUAUUCAAAAUUAUUUAAAAACUUUACAAAAAGCAUAUGAAAAGCAAGCAGAUUCCCUGAAGGCGAACGGCUUACAGGACCUAUUUUGCAUAGAUAAAGCAACUGUUCCGCACGCCCACUCACACGCACACACACGCACGCACACACCCACACACACACGCACGCACACACACAUACAGAAUCGCAUUCAAAUUUAGUCAAAUGAUUUUGUACUCAAGCGUCGCAACGGACACUCAACAGAGCCAUAAAAUCAAGUUGAGCUGGAAAGGCAAAUCGCAGCAAGUCGAAGCAGCAAAUACCCUACAAUCGAGGUAUCAUGGACACUGGAGACGCAUAGAGAACUUUCAAGACCCGCUGCCUUUUCCAUUCGCUCAACCGUUCGCCCAGCAUGGAAUGCCUGCCUUCAACUGUAUAUCUAACGGGCUAUGCCCACUCAACCUCAGAGUAUUUACAGGCUGUAAUAAGAGCGUAGCCCGAAACGUUUCGAUGUACCAAAGCAAGGAGGGGACGACUGAUUCGACCGAAGGACUUUAUUUCUCUACAUACAUAUAUUUCUAUAAGUGUGUGUGUAUAUUGCCGGCCUUUGUGUUUCAGACGGAAAUCGUUGAUGGGCAGAGAGAGAGAGAGAGUGAGACAGACAAACAGGCAGAGAGCGAGAGCGAACUAUAGAGGGAGAGUGAGGACGAAGUUGUUUGCCCUGGUGUUGAGAAGUUUGCGUUUACUUUUUUGUCAUGCGGCAAGCGCGGCAUGUGGCAUGAGGCGACCGGCAUGCGGCAUGUGGCAUGAGGCAUGAGGCAAGUAUGUGUAGGUGGCCGUGGGGGCGUGCAAGGGGCGAGGCAAGUGACAUUGAUGAAACGGGCCGUAGAACAUUAGCCAAAUACUGCAGAAAUUUUGCACUAGACUCUGUUUACAUGGGGGUGAC
Long non-coding RNA from Drosophila arizonae, 994 nucleotides. RefSeq lists it as uncharacterized. Lineage: Eukaryota; Metazoa; Arthropoda; Insecta; Diptera; Drosophilidae. The record is from RefSeq and is a predicted model, not a curated record.